Molecule: ribosomal RNA, 425 nt
Filed under: uncultured bacterium
Lineage: Bacteria
Description: partial 16S ribosomal RNA
Rfam family: Bacterial small subunit ribosomal RNA
Source: RNAcentral
GUGGGGAAUAUUGGACAAUGGGCGAAAGCCUGAUCCAGCAAUGUCGCGUGAGUGAUGAAGGCCUUAGGGUUGUAAAGCUCUUUUACCAGGGAUGAUAAUGACAGUACCUGGAGAAUAAGCUCCGGCUAACUCCGUGCCAGCAGCCGCGGUAAUACGGAGGGAGCUAGCGUUGUUCGGAAUUACUGGGCGUAAAGCGCACGUAGGCGGGUACUCAAGUCAGAGGUGAAAGCCCGGGGCUCAACCCCGGAACUGCCUUUGAAACUAGGUAACUAGAAUCUUGGAGAGGUCAGUGGAAUUCCGAGUGUAGAGGUGAAAUUCGUAGAUAUUCGGAAGAACACCAGUGGCGAAGGCGACUGACUGGACAAGUAUUGACGCUGAGGUGCGAAAGCGUGGGGAGCAAACAGGAUUAGAUACCCGGGUAGUCC